RNAcentral lists this ribosomal RNA (497 nucleotides) under uncultured bacterium. RNAcentral describes it as "partial 16S ribosomal RNA". It matches the Rfam family "Bacterial small subunit ribosomal RNA", at positions 28 to 507 of the family's 1533-position model. The record is from RNAcentral.
GAUGAACGCUGGCGGCGUGCCUAAUACAUGCAAGUCGAGCGAACAGACGAGGAGCUUGCUCCUCUGAUGUUAGCGGCGGACGGAUGAGUAACACGUGGAUAACCUACCUAUAAGACUGGGAUAACUUCGGGAAACCGGAGCUAAUACCGGAUAACAUGUUGAACCGCAUGGUUCAACAGUGAAAGACGGUCUUGCUGUCACUUAUAGAUGGAUCCGCGCCGCAUUAGCUAGUUGGUAAGGUAACGGCUUACCAAGGCAACGAUGCGUAGCCGACCUGAGAGGGUGAUCGGCCACACUGGAACUGAGACACGGUCCAGACUCCUACGGGAGGCAGCAGUAGGGAAUCUUCCGCAAUGGGCGAAAGCCUGACGGAGCAACGCCGCGUGAGUGAAGAAGGUCUUCGGAUCGUAAAACUCUGUUAUUAGGGAAGAACAAAUGUGUAAGUAACUAUGCACGUCUUGACGGUACCUAAUCAGAAAGCCACGGCUAACUACGUG